Molecule: ribosomal RNA, 119 nt
Organism: Macleaya cordata
Lineage: Eukaryota; Viridiplantae; Streptophyta; Magnoliopsida; Ranunculales; Papaveraceae
Source: Rfam
GGGUGUGAUCAUACCAGCGCUAAUGCACCGGAUCCCAUUAAAAUUCCGCAGUUAAGCGUGCCUGGACGACAGUGGUACUAGGAUGGGUGACCUCCUGGGAAGUCCUCGUUUUGCGCCCC